RNAcentral lists this ribosomal RNA (305 nucleotides) under uncultured bacterium. RNAcentral describes it as "partial 16S ribosomal RNA". It matches the Rfam family "Bacterial small subunit ribosomal RNA", at positions 505 to 807 of the family's 1533-position model. The record is from RNAcentral.
ACAGCAGUAGCCACGGGAAUACGGAGGGUGCAAGCGUUAAUCGGAAUUACUGGGCGUAAAGCGCACGCAGGCGGUCUGACAAGUCAGAUGUGAAAUCCCCGGGCUUAACCUGGGAACUGCAUUUGAAACUGUUAGGCUGGAGUCUUGUAGAGGGGGGUAGAAUUCCAGGUGUAGCGGUGAAAUGCGUAGAGAUCUGGAGGAAUACCGGUGGCGAAGGCGGCCCCCUGGACAAAGACUGACGCUCAGGUGCGAAAGCGUGGGGAGCAAACAGGAUUAGAUACCCGCGUAGUCCCUGUCUCUUAUAC